AGCUGGCUCUAAAUGUCGAAACAAGGAAUGGGAUCUGAUGGAGAUGAACAGCGAGAGAGACGAAGGGGGAAUUGGAGAACGGACAUCAAUCGGCCGGACAAAAGAUCCAACUGGCUCUAAAUGUCGAAACAAGGAAUGGGAUCUGAUGGAGAUGAACAGCGAGAGAGACGAAGGGAGAAUUGGAGAACGGACAAUAAUCGGCCAGACACAAGAUCCAAAUUUGCUUCAAGCGAUGACUCGAUUGACUAAUUCGAAUGAGGGGCUGGAGCAAAAAAUGGACCACCUGUCGCAGAUAUUGACCAAGUUGACAGAAAGACACGGGGAUGCGAGUAGUGAUCAGACAUUGCAUGGACAGUUAGAAGGGAUUUCGAAUACUCUUGACAUGUUUGAAAGUGUAAUUCCAAUUUUAACCACGGAAAACUUACUUGAAUUCGACGAAUAUCUCAAAAAACCUUCGCAGUUUCGAACUCAGUUGGUGAGACAUUUUGAAAUUUUCGUCGCGCCUAAUUCAAUUUUUGUGCACCGUUUCGCGCCACCACACGCCAGUUGGGAGGCAGUUGGAGCCACUGCACUCCACCAUGCACUAGGCACCUCAUCGAUGAUGGGGUGCCUAGUGGAAUGCAGUGGCUCCAACUGCAUCCCAAGUUGACCCCGUCAACCUACACAGUUUAAGUAAUUGUCUCAUAGAUACUACAGCUCAAAAUCUGCUCGCGCUCCGCGCUCUCAUUUCAUAAUUUUGUUCCUUUUUUAAAAAGGGCGUGAACAAAAAAGGUUACAUUCCUUGAUUUUGGUCACGUGGUCCAAGUUUUAAAGGGAUGGUCCAGGCUGAAAAUAUUUAUAGCUAAAUAAAAAGAGUAAAAUUCACAGAGCGAAGUGCUUACAAUUUCAUCAAAAUCGGAUAACAAAAUAUUGAAGUUACUACAUUUUCCCGGGGGGGGGGGGGGCCACUUACAUUGACGAGUGGAUACCAUGCGCGACC
Molecule: long non-coding RNA, 979 nt
Organism: Lytechinus pictus (painted urchin)
Lineage: Eukaryota; Metazoa; Echinodermata; Echinoidea; Temnopleuroida; Toxopneustidae
Exons: 3
Source: RefSeq, a predicted model, not a curated record